Small nuclear RNA from Monodelphis domestica (gray short-tailed opossum), 154 nucleotides. Its record names the gene U4. It matches the Rfam family "U4 spliceosomal RNA". Rfam says of the family: U4 small nuclear RNA (U4 snRNA) is a component of the major U2-dependent spliceosome. The structure of U4 snRNA from yeast and human has been reported. NCBI's taxonomy places the organism in Eukaryota, Metazoa, Chordata, Mammalia, Didelphimorphia, Didelphidae. The record is from Ensembl.
AGCUUUGCGCAGUGGUGGUAUUAUAGCCUGUGAGGUUUAACCAAGGCGUGAUUAUUGCUCAUUGAAAACAUAAAUGCUUAUCGAUUGAUUAUUCAUAAGGUGCCAUUUCUCCUGGAGCUUAAUACAUGCUACUUGAUUGAAUGGCUGAGAAGCC